UAGUGUUUCAACCUAGGGAUGAGAAUUUGUUUAAUUUGAUGUUCCGACCUGGGUGCACCAAAACAAGAAUUUAACAUGAUCCAUAAUGAAAUAGUUGUUCUCAUCCCUAGGUCGGAACACCGAAUUAUUGUCUGCCUUUCAAAUGGUCCACACACAUGCAAGCCAUAUCUCCCAUAGAUAAAUUAUAACUUUCCCACCCUUACACUUUUGUUAGAAUUUUAUUAAUGAUGACAAGGUUCCGAAAAGCUAUCCUCUCCUGAUAUUUCCAUCAAUAUAUUCAAAUGUAGUUUGGCCCCAUCUGUAGUUAAGCACUAGUUGGUUCGUCCAACUAAGUUUGAUUCACAUUGACUCCAACCAAAAAAGCUUUGUGGAAGAUCACUUUUAAACCAUGUCAUCUCAAAAAGAAGUACACUCGCUUUGAGAGCUCUAAUGUUCGCCCAAGACUUCUCUUCCUCCAAACUCAUAUCAUCAACAAAUUGCUUGUGUUAAUUUGAACUCAUCAUUAUUUUCAACCUGAACUUUAUCAAUACACGUCAAAAGUAGAGAAUAGAUACAUUCAACAAUAAGCAAAAAUAAAAUAAAAAAUGUUAGAGGGAUCACCUUACCUCAACCCCCACCCCAUUUUAUAUUCUUUUUUUAGGUUUCCAUUAACAAGAAUUGUAACAUUGAUUGUGCCAAAACACUCCAUGAUUCAUCAUCUCCAUUUAUAAGAAAAUAAAAAAUAAAAAUCCCAUUUUCGUCACCACAAAGUCUACAUAUGGGAUACAUAGAGCAAAAAUUUAUAUAUAUCGCCCUUGAAGUGGUAUAAUAACUCACAAACACUAAAUACACUCCAUAUGUUUUUUUUUUACAAGACCCUAUAAUAACUAGUUAUAAUUAUAAAUUUGUAAAAAUAGUUUAACUUUCAUGUCUUGUUUACAAAUCACAACCAAUCAUGACGACCUUAAAAAGCGGUUAUAAUAAAAGUCAAAACGUUCUCUAAAAAAAAAAAAAAGUCAAAAUAUUUUUUAGUGAUCUAACCAUUGUGUGAAUUACAAGUGUAAAAAUUCUUACACAAGAAUGAAAUCUUCGUGAAAUAUGUUACUUUUCCAUAAUCACCUCUACAAUUAAUUAUAUCAUAUUCAUAGGAAAUAAAUUAACGUUUUUCAAUUGUAAAUUAUAUAUGAAUAUUAUUGUAAAGAAAUUAUUAAUACAUUUAAAAGUUUUGUAAAAAAUAUUUUUGUAAAGAGACAGAAAUAUGAAAAGAUGGUCUUAUAAUUAUUGAGUGAGGAAGUGGUCUUUCUAAACAUAAUUAAUUGUCUAACAAAGGAAAUCAACUAGAAUAUAUAUUCACCAAAAAGCCAUAAUAAAAUAUGUAAUAAUUAGUUAAACAACUAAUAAUCACUUGAGAACCAAAUUCACAAGAUAAUAAUAUAAUUAUAUAUUACAUAUUCAAACUUUUUUAAUCCAUCAUUAUGUUUUAGGAUAAAAGGGUAAAGUAAUAAUAACAAUAACCACUGUUGUUAUAAAUCACUUGACGAAUUGCCAGUUUUCUAUAACCGGAACAGAUAAUAAUAAUAUUUAGAUGAUCAAGAUAAAUUAUAUACAUAGCAAUAUUAAGUAAUGAUAUUAAAGUGAAGAGUAUAGAUAACAUACCAAGUAGUAGUAUGAACUUUCGAUAGAAAUGAUCGUGUUGAUAACAUGUUAAAGAUUUAGAUAUUUAAAUACUUAUUUAUGAUGUUAGUGAACUAAUAAGAUGAUAUAAAAUACUACUUCAAUUUAUAAUACUUCAAAUAAUAUAUAACACUAUGAUUUAUCAAACUAAGGAAAUCAAGAGAGAAGGAAGUAUGAUGAUAUGUUUUUAUUUCUCAAAAAUGAUGUAUUUUUACAUGAAUCAAAGUGUGGUAUUUAUACUACUAAAUUUACCACUAUUACAUAUAUGAAAUUAUUUGUUUUACCACUAAUAAGUAAUUCACACUUACUAUUGUAAGUUGACAUUUUGGAUGUAUAUUUCAACCUAAAUAGUAAGAUAUAAUUAUAGGAUAAUUUCAUGAUUUUGGAUAUAUUUUUUUUUUAUAAUAAAAAUAAUAUUUCUUUUUUUUUGAAAACAUCAAAAUGGAAUUUAUAAACAUAGGCAGUGGAACCAUUUCAGCACAAGAUGUAUUGGAAGGCAACCCCUUAAAAAGAAUAGUAAAACAAUAUUUACAAAAUUACAGUCAGUCGAUACCCAGACAUAACAUAGGGUCCGACCACCACAUCUGAGUGCCAUGCACAAACAAGGCAUUAUUAGCCUGUAACCACCAUAAAGAAUGGAAUUUAAUCUUUUCAAAUAAUAUUUCUUAUAACCAGUUUUUAUAGAUAAACAUUUUACCUUCUUCAAACCCUUAGUCAAGCUCCGUCUAUGUCGCGUCAUCACUAUGAAGUUUAUCGGAAUGCUUUCCUCUUUCAAUGUCAUGUUACUAAAAUGCCAAGAACCGAAGUUUUGAUGGCAAUCGACCAUAGAGCAGCUAGAUCUAGGAUUUGCUACUCUAACCAAAAACUUACUGAACCUACUGAUUUGUUCGAGUAAGCUUUCAUGUUUUUCAUUUUUUUUUUAUCAAAUUAGCUUAGAUCUUUGGACCGACCUGAUUCUCAAUGGAUAUUCAUUUUAUACUUUAUUUGUUUGCUAUUACACCACUUUAUAACAUUUUUAAGAUCUAAAAUAUUAAAUGUUUCAAUAUGAAAUCCCAUUUUCUUCACCACAAAGUCUAUAUAUGAGAUACAUAGAGCAAAAGUUUAUAUAUAUCGCUCCUCAAAGUGGUGUAAUAACUCACAAACACUAAAUACAUUCCAUAUGUUUUUUUUUUAUUAUUACAAGACCCUAUAAUAACUAGUUAUAAUUAUAAAUUUGUAAAAAUAGUUUAACUUUCAUGUAUUGUUUACAAAUCACAACCAAUCAUCUAUGACCUUAAAAAACGGUUAUAAUAAAAGUCAAAAUAUUUUAUAGUCAUCUAACCAUUGUGUUCAAUUACGAGUGUAAAAGUUCUUUACACAAGACAAUGUUUAAGAAUGAAAUCUUCGUGAAAUAUGUUACUUUUCCAUAAUCACCUCUACAAUUCAUUAUAUCAUAUUCAUAGAAAAUAAAUUAACGUUUUUCAAUUGUAAGUUAUAUAUGAAUAUUAUUGUAAAGAAAUUAUUAAUACAUUUAAAAGUUUUGUAAAAAAUAUUUUUGUAAAGAGACAAAGAAAUAUGAAAAGAUGGUCUUAUAAUUAUUGAGUGAGGAAGUAGUCUUUUCUAAACAGAAUUAAUUGUCUAACAAAGGAAAUCAACUAGAGUAUUUAUUCACCAAAAAACCAUAAUAAAAUAUGUAAUAAUUAGUUAAACAACUAAUAAUCACUUGAGAACCAAAUUCACAUGACAAUAAUAUAAUUAUAUAUAUUACAUAUUCAAUCUUUUUUAAUCCUUCAAUAUGUGUUAGAAUAAGGGGUAAAGUAAUAAUAACAAUAAUAGCCACUCUAGUAUAUGAUAAUUCAAUAUGAUAUUCAUUUAUUUAUACUCUUAUUUUAAUUCUUCUUUUCCAUACCAUUUAUUAAUUUUGUCAAACAUCUAAUUAUAUCUAUUUCUUCACUUAUUUUUAUCUUUUUUCUGAUGCAGAUUGACCGUAAUUCUGUUAAAGGUUUGGUCAUUGGGAUGCCGGGUGGAUAUCCAUCUCUUUUACGUACGUCAACGAGGAUGAAUCCACUAUUCUAGCCGAAACUUGGAUUGAGGAAAUGACAAUGAAAGGGGAGCUCCUACGUCAACGGUGGCAGCCAAGGUUUUUCUCGCGGUUAGUGGAAAAAUUACAGAGUAUUGGUUGUAUCUCCGAAUAAACAUACAUCACUAAUCAUCAUUGAUUUUUUAUUUUUUUUUAAAAGAAACAUAUAGUAUAUUCUUUAAUGAUGCAUGUUUUAAGAUGUAACAUAUUGAAUGUGUAUGGGAUAAUUGACUUGUGGGUUGAUGUAUCAAAACCUGAAUUGUUUAAAAGGCGGUUCUUGUUUCUUCCUUAUAGUACAAUAUCCCGUUUUAUAAACUUAACAAUUGAACUACUUUAUAAAUAUGAAAUAUCAUACAAAAUAUAUUUGAUUAAUAUUUAUUUUUCAAUUAAGAUAACACUGGUAAAAUUAUGAGGAAAACUAUAAGUUUUAAUCUAUAAACUAUAUGAAUUAGUUUACAUGAAUUAGUUUAUAAAUAAUUAUUAUAAGCUAGUAAAAAUAAAAUAUAAACUCAUGAAAAAAUGAUUGUUACUAAACAUAUCCUUUUAAUUGGAUGAUUUUAUAAGCUAUAAGCUAAUUUAACAUGCUUGUGAAAUAAAACCUAGCCUUUGAAAAUUUUAACAAACAAGAUCUAUUUAUACUUAGUUUAGAUCGAUCAAACCUUGAAAAGUAUGAUCCAAUAAUUCAAUAAUUCACAAGUCAUUGGUGAUCAAAUGAUCAAUAAAAAGUUUGAAAUUUUUGAAUGUUGUGAUAAGUUUAAAAAAAUUAUUGGAGCAAAUAAGAGAAUAUAUAUAAUAAAACGCAGUUCUGCAUGUUCAAAUUAACGAGGACUAUUGUAAUUUUUGUAUUGCAAAAUUUCGAUGAAAAAAAUCAUAAAUUCGAACACUUAUAAUAUAAAAAAAUGUAAUUAUUGAGGUUAACUGUCCUACUAUUAUAUAGCACAUAAAAUUGAAUUUCUUAUUAGUGAUAUUUUAUUUAUUUAUUUUGUUAAGAAUAAGAACCAUGUUUAAGAAAUUUAAACAUUAUUUUUUUUUAUCGAAGGAAAGUUAAGCCCUAAGAAUUCACGAAAAUGAAGGUAGAUUUCAAGGCUCAAAUAGUAUUAAAAAAAAAAAAAUUUACCUAUCAAAGAAGUUCUCACAUAUAUAGCAAGAGUUAAUCUUACAUCUUUGUGAAGCAUGAAUCAACACCUUAUUGAUUGGUUCAACCUCCACUGGUGAAAUUUAAUUCUUCUUUGAUUUUAUUAAAUAAGUUCUAAUGAAUUAAAUAUGUUUUAUAUUUUUUCCAAAGUCAUAUGAAUUAACAGAUACCAUCAAAGCACAAGGCGUAUAUUUCUUAAUAUAAAAAAAGUUACCACUCAAAAGUCUGUCCCAAAAACAAAGGAUCAAACACCAUCAAACAACAAGGAUGGUAGCAAAACAAAGCAUAGUUAACAAGACAACAACAAUAAAAACAAAGCCUCAAAACACCUCAAAGGUUACCAUAUAAGUUGUCAAGACACUCUGCUGGAUGAUCACACAAUUGGUUUAAAUUGAAACAAAAAUCUAUCCAGGUGCUUCAACCACCACCGAAACAAGAAUUUAACAUGAUCCAUAAAUAAUGCAACAUUUUUUCUCAUUCCUAGGUCAGAACACCAAAUUAUUGUGUGUCUUUCAAACACAUCAAGCCAUCUUUCAUAUAUAAAUUUUGACCUUUCCACCCUUACAAUUUUGCUAGAAUUUUAUUAAUAACUAGGUUCCAAAAAGCUAUCCUCUCCUGAUAUUUCCAUCCAUAUAUUCAAAUGUAGCUUGGCCACAUUUGCCCUUAAGCACUUGUUGCUUCGUCCAACCAAGUUUCAUUCACAUUGACUCCAACUAAAAAAACAUUUAUGGAAGAUCACUUUUAAAGCAUGUCAUCUCAAAAAAAGCUCUAAUAUUUGCCUAUGACUUCUCUUCCUUCAAACUCAUAUCAUCAACAUAUUGGGUAUGUAUUAAUUUGAACUCAUCAUUAUUUCCAACCUGAACUUUAUCAAUACAUGUCAUAAGUAGAAAAUUGAGACCUUCAACAAUAAGAAAAAAUAAAAAAGGUAAAAAGGAAUCACCUUACCCCAGCCCCCAACUCGUUUUAACAAAAAUUGUAAUAUUGAUUGUGUCAAAACACUCCAUAAUUCAUCAUCUCCCAAAUCUAUAUAUAUAUAUAGUUCUCAAAAAGGGUCUGUAAGACUCGACUCGUAAUCUCGUACGAGUUAUGGAAAAUUAAAAAUGAUAUUAAAAUU
Molecule: long non-coding RNA, 5961 nt
Filed under: Medicago truncatula (barrel medic)
Lineage: Eukaryota; Viridiplantae; Streptophyta; Magnoliopsida; Fabales; Fabaceae
Description: long non-coding RNA (MTRU_LNC005482)
Source: RNAcentral